RNAcentral lists this ribosomal RNA (283 nucleotides) under Corynebacterium sp. F16/14. RNAcentral describes it as "partial 16S ribosomal RNA". It matches the Rfam family "Bacterial small subunit ribosomal RNA", at positions 457 to 738 of the family's 1533-position model. Lineage: Bacteria; Bacillati; Actinomycetota; Actinomycetes; Mycobacteriales; Corynebacteriaceae. The record is from RNAcentral.
AACCCACUUGUGGUGACGGUAGGUAGAUAAGAAGCACCGGCUAACUACGUGCCAGCAGCCGCGGUAAUACGUAGGGUGCAAGCGUUGUCCGGAAUUACUGGGCGUAAAGAGCUCGUAGGUGGUUUGUCGCGUCGUCUGUGAAAUCCCGGGGCUUAACUUCGGGCGUGCAGGCGAUACGGGCAUAACUUGAGUGCUGUAGGGGAGACUGGAAUUCCUGGUGUAGCGGUGAAAUGCGCAGAUAUCAGGAGGAACACCGAUGGCGAAGGCAGGUCUCUGGGCAGUU